ACUUUAACACUGAGGCGUGAUGACGAGGCACUACGGUGCUGAAGCAACAAAUGCCCUGCUUCCAGGAAAAGCCUCUAAGCAUCAGGUAACAUCAAAUCGUACCCCAAACCGACACAGGUGGUCAGGUAGAGAAUACCAAGGCGCUUGAGAGAACUCGGGUGAAGGAACUAGGCAAAAUGGUGCCGUAACUUCGGGAGAAGGCACGCUGACACGUAGGUGAAGUGAUUUACUCAUGGAGCUGAAGUCAGUCGAAGAUACCAGCUGGCUGCAACUGUUUAUUAAAAACACAGCACUGUGCAAACACGAAAGUGGACGUAUACGGUGUGACGCCUGCCCGGUGCCGGAAGGUUAAUUGAUGGGGUCAGCGCAAGCGAAGCUCCUGAUCGAAGCCCCGGUAAACGGCGGCCGUAACUAUAACGGUCCUAAGGUAGCGAAAUUCCUUGUCGGGUAAGUUCCGACCUGCACGAAUGGCGUAAUGAUGGCCAGGCUGUCUCCACCCGAGACUCAGUGAAAUUGAACUCGCUGUGAAGAUGCAGUGUACCCGCGGCAAGACGGAAAGACCCCGUGAACCUUUACUAUAGCUUGACACUGAACAUUGAGCCUUGAUGUGUAGGAUAGGUGGGAGGCUUUGAAGCGUGGACGCCAGUCUGCGUGGAGCCGACCUUGAAAUACCACCCUUUAAUGUUUGAUGUUCUAACGUGGACCCGUAAUCCGGGUUGCGGACAGUGUCUGGUGGGUAGUUUGACUGGGGCGGUCUCCUCCUAAAGAGUAACGGAGGAGCACGAAGGUUGGCUAAUCCUGGUCGGACAUCAGGAGGUUAGUGCAAUGGCAUAAGCCAGCUUGACUGCGAGCGUGACGGCGCGAGCAGGUGCGAAAGCAGGUCAUAGUGAUCCGGUGGUUCUGAAUGGAAGGGCCAUCGCUCAACGGAUAAAAGGUACUCCGGGGAUAACAGGCUGAUACCGCCCAAGAGUUCAUAUCGACGGCGGUGUUUGGCACCUCGAUGUCGGCUCAUCACAUCCUGGGGCUGAAGUAGGUCCCAAGGGUAUGGCUGUUCGCCAUUUAAAGUGGUACGCGAGCUGGGUUUAGAACGUCGUGAGACAGUUCGGUCCCUAUCUGCCGUGGGCGCUGGAGAACUGAGGGGGGCUGCUCCUAGUACGAGAGGACCGGAGUGGACGCAUCACUGGUGUUCGGGUUGUCAUGCCAAUGGCACUGCCCGGUAGCUAAAUGCGGAAGAGAUAAGUGCUGAAAGCAUCUAAGCACGAAACUUGCCCCGAGAUGAGUUCUCCCUGAGACUUAGAGUCUCCUGAAGGAACGUUGAAGACGACGACGUUGAUAGGCCGGGUGUGUAAGCGCAGCGAUGCGUUGAGCUAACCGGUACUAAUGAACCGUGAGGCUUAACCUUACAACGCCGAAGCUGUU
This 1419-nucleotide ribosomal RNA is filed under the name Salmonella enterica subsp. enterica serovar Newport. RNAcentral describes it as "bacterial LSU rRNA". It matches the Rfam family "Bacterial large subunit ribosomal RNA", at positions 1547 to 2925 of the family's 2925-position model. Lineage: Bacteria; Pseudomonadati; Pseudomonadota; Gammaproteobacteria; Enterobacterales; Enterobacteriaceae. The record is from RNAcentral.